GUUUAGGUUCCUAUCUUCUUGCUAAAUAUAUCUCUUGUCCACCCCUCCCACCCCCUAGCCAUUUUAUAAGCGGAAAGCAUGUCUGGCCUAACCAAUGCCAGUUGAGGCAAAACGGACAAAAUAACCUCCCCGGACUAUAAUAUUCCAAAAUGAUGGAACCAAUAUGCUCUUAAGGCUUGUUAACCUGUUCCUCUUGUCCGUCCUCCCCACUGUCUUACCCCCUUACUGGUGCAAAGAGACCACUAACAUACAAUUAUUUGUUGAGCCAAAACAAACAUAAAUCCAGAUCUUAUUUUAAAAAGAUAAUAAUCUUUGUGGAGAGAUUAUAUCCUAUACCAUAUAUACCAUGCGGUCAUAUACACCGUUAAUUAUAGCCACCCAAUUUUACGGACCUAAUGCAUUAAACAUUCAUCUCCAUAUAUUACUAUAAGUGAUUGUCA
Molecule: long non-coding RNA, 440 nt
Filed under: Elaeis guineensis (African oil palm)
Lineage: Eukaryota; Viridiplantae; Streptophyta; Magnoliopsida; Arecales; Arecaceae
Description: long non-coding RNA (EGUI_LNC027843)
Source: RNAcentral